GACCAAUCGACUUCUCCAGAUAUAUUCCUCUCCCCUACCAAACUUGUGAAAUUCAUCCAAAUCGAUUAGAGAGAUGUCCAUGGCUGGUUUCAGUCGACUUCACAAUAUCGAGGACCACCAAGGGUCGGUGUCACACGCCGCCGUGAAUGCGUGACUUGAAUCUCGGUCCCGCUAAAUGAAAGCGACGGUUUGAUUUUGAUUUUGUGGAUGACGAAACACCUUCAGCUUGCUAAUGACUCUUGAGAGGUAUAAGAAAUGCAAUUAUGGAGCACCUAAGAUCAAUGUGUAUGCUAGGGAGGCAUGGGUAAGCAUUACUUUUUUUAUGAAAGAUGCAUUGUAAUUCUCCCCUCUUUAGAGUUAUAUUUUUUAUAUUAUGGUGUCUGGAUGUGUCUUUAACUACUGCAACUUAAAGAAUAAUAACCAAACACUUAGUGGCUAUUUUUGUUCAAGAUCAAUGACUUUUUUAUAUAUUCUAUUAGUGGCUAACUAGCUAAUAAACUAAUAAUAAAUUCUUUGUUGUGUUUGUUGCUUUUGCUAUAAGAUUUUCUUUGAUCAAUAACAAUGUCUUUAAAUGUUGUUUUAUGAUUUUCUUUAUUUUUUCCUGAGGUUUGUGGAGGUAAAAGAUGAUUAAAGAGUGCUUAUGACACGCAAAAAGUUAAACUCAUCUGGAUCAACGUCAGGUGUCCACGUCAGCCAGGAGGUACUGAAUGCGGCUACUAUGUGAUGGAGUUCAUGAAGAAGAUAGCUUACGUUGGGAAAGGAGUAAAGGAAUACUCGAUUGCGGAUAUGAAUGACAUUCACGAAGAUUGGUCGACUUAUGCGGUUACCUCUAUUUUUAAGUGA
RNAcentral lists this long non-coding RNA (843 nucleotides) under Helianthus annuus (common sunflower). Its description in RNAcentral is "sRNA HanXRQr2_Chr10g0461811". The record is from RNAcentral. Lineage: Eukaryota; Viridiplantae; Streptophyta; Magnoliopsida; Asterales; Asteraceae.